GUAGGGAAUCUUGCACAAUGGGCGAAAGCCUGAUGCAGCAACGCCGCGUGAAGGAUGAAGGCCUUCGGGUUGUAAACUUCUGUUCUAAGGGAAGAAACAAAUGACGGUACCUUAGGAGCAAGCCCCGGCUAACUACGUGCCAGCAGCCGCGGUAAUACGUAGGGGGCAAGCGUUAUCCGGAAUUAUUGGGCGUAAAGAGUGCGUAGGUGGUUACCUAAGCGCAAGGUUUAAUUUAGAGGCUCAACCUCUACUUGCCUUGCGAACUGGGCUACUUGAGUGCAGGAGGGGAAAGCGGAAUUCCUAGUGUAGCGGUGAAAUGCGUAGAUAUUAGGAGGAACACCAGCGGCGAAGGCGGCUUUCUGGACUGUAACUGACACUGAGGAACGAAAGCGUGGGUAGCAAACAGGAUUAGAUACCCUAGUAGUCC
This 427-nucleotide ribosomal RNA is filed under the name uncultured bacterium. RNAcentral's name for it is "bacterial SSU rRNA". It matches the Rfam family "Bacterial small subunit ribosomal RNA", at positions 354 to 796 of the family's 1533-position model. The record is from RNAcentral.